GCCUGGGUGGCUUAGUUGGUUGAGUGUCUGACUCAUCUCAGGUCAUGAUCUUGUGGUUCAUGGGUUCGAGUCCCAUGUCAGGCU
Molecule: transfer RNA, 84 nt
Filed under: Felis catus (domestic cat)
Lineage: Eukaryota; Metazoa; Chordata; Mammalia; Carnivora; Felidae
Rfam family: tRNA
About the family: Transfer RNA (tRNA) molecules are approximately 80 nucleotides in length. Their secondary structure includes four short double-helical elements and three loops (D, anti-codon, and T loops).
Source: Rfam by way of RNAcentral